UACAGAGGUCCCAAGCGUUGUUCGGAUUCACUGGGCGUAAAGGGUGCGUAGGCGGUCGGGUAAGUCUGAUGUGAAAUCUCACAGCUUAACUGUGAAACUGCAUUGGAUACUAUCCGGCUCGAGGAAUGGAGGGGAGACUGGAAUACUUGGUGUAGCAGUGAAAUGCGUAGAUAUCAAGUGGAACACCAGUGGCGAAGGCGAGUCUCUGGACAUUUCCUGACGCUGAGGUGCGAAAGCGUGGGGAGCAAACAGG
RNAcentral lists this ribosomal RNA (253 nucleotides) under uncultured bacterium. RNAcentral's name for it is "partial 16S ribosomal RNA". It matches the Rfam family "Bacterial small subunit ribosomal RNA", at positions 524 to 776 of the family's 1533-position model. The record is from RNAcentral.